This 253-nucleotide ribosomal RNA is filed under the name uncultured bacterium. RNAcentral's name for it is "partial 16S ribosomal RNA". It matches the Rfam family "Bacterial small subunit ribosomal RNA", at positions 524 to 776 of the family's 1533-position model. The record is from RNAcentral.
UACAGAGGGGGCAAGCGUUGUUCGGAAUUACUGGGCGUAAAGGGCGCGUAGGCGGCCUUCUAAGUCGAACGUGAAAUCCCUGGGCUCAACCCAGGAACUGCGUCCGAUACUGGAAGGCUUGAAUCCGGGAGAGGGAUGCGGAAUUCCAGGUGUAGCGGUGAAAUGCGUAGAUAUCUGGAGGAACACCGGUGGCGAAGGCGGCAUCCUGGACCGGUAUUGACGCUGAGGCGCGAAAGCGUGGGUAGCAAACAGG